AUUGAACGCUGGCGGCAUGCUUUACACAUGCAAGCCGAACGGUAACAGGCCGCAAGGUGCUGACGAGUGGCGAACGGGUGAGUAAUGCAUCGGAACGUGCCCAGUCGUGGGGGAUAACUACUCGAAAGAGUAGCUAAUACCGCAUACGAUCUAUGGAUGAAAGCGGGGGACCGUAAGGCCUCGCGCGAUUGGAGCGGCCGAUGUCAGAUUAGGUAGUUGGUGGGGUAAAGGCUCACCAAGCCAACGAUCUGUAGCUGGUCUGAGAGGACGACCAGCCACACUGGGACUGAGACACGGCCCAGACUCCUACGGGAGGCAGCAGUGGGGAAUUUUGGGCAAUGGGCGCAAGCCUGAUCCAGCAAUGCCGCGUGCAGGAAGAAGGCCUUCGGGUUGUAAACUGCUUUUGUACGGAACGAAACGGCUCUGGUUAAUACCCGGGGAUAAUGACGGUACCGUAAGAAUAAGCACCGGCUAACUACGUG
Molecule: ribosomal RNA, 482 nt
Filed under: uncultured bacterium
Lineage: Bacteria
Description: partial 16S ribosomal RNA
Rfam family: Bacterial small subunit ribosomal RNA
Source: RNAcentral